GCAAAUAUCAAGGAAAGGAUUUCACAUAAAAAAUUGUUCAAAAUCACGAACUUUUCUGUGAUAUACCCAACACAGUCAAGGGUAAUAUCGAAUCACUUAAAGAAGAAAACUUGCACUUUUGAACUGUACGUUUGAUCGCGAAGCUUCCUAUCUUCGAAGAAAUCGUCGAUAGGAAAAUGGAUAGCGGCGACUUGUCACGUACGCGGACGAUUUGGAAGUGAUCGGUCUGCGAGGCCAAUCGAGGGCCACGAUCAUUGGACCUUUCCAUCCUUGCAGCAGGCGUCGAGGAGUACAAUAACCCCAGCUUCCCGCAACAGCCGAGCUGGCCAUUGGCGUCGAAUUUCUCCGUACCGAUAAGAAACGCAGGUUUCUGUCUUCGAUCAAAUGCUAUUAAUCGAUUCCGAUGUGAGAAAUUAUGUAUAUAGUUAUGUAUAUUGCUGCCAGGCGAAUGAAACUUUUUGAAAGUGUAUGAAAGUAAUGUAGCCGAAU
This 489-nucleotide unclassified non-coding RNA is filed under the name Bombus terrestris (buff-tailed bumblebee). RNAcentral's name for it is "misc RNA ENSBTSG00005038613.1". The record is from RNAcentral. Lineage: Eukaryota; Metazoa; Arthropoda; Insecta; Hymenoptera; Apidae.